GAUGAACGCUGGCGGCGUGCCUAAUACAUGCAAGUCGAGCGAACAGACGAGGAGCUUGCUCCUCUGACGUUAGCGGCGGACGGGUGAGUAACACGUGGAUAACCUACCUAUAAGAAUGGGAUAACUUCGGGAAACCGGAGCUAAUACCGGAUCAUAUAUUGAACCGCAUGGUUCAAUAGUGAAAGCCGGUUUUGCUGUCACUUAUAGAUGGAUCCGCGCCGCAUUAGCUAGUUGGUAAGGUAACGGCUUACCAAGGCAACGAUGCGUAGCCGACCUGAGAGGGUGAUCGGCCACACUGGAACUGAGACACGGUCCAGACUCCUACGGGAGGCAGCAGUGGGGAAUCUUCCGCAAUGGGCGAAAGCCUGACGGAGCAACGCCGCGUGAGUGAUGAAGGUCUUCGGAUCGUAAAACUCUGUUAUUAGGGAAGAACAAAUGUGUAAGUAACUAUGCACGUCUUGACGGUACCUAAUCAGAAAGCCACGGCUAACUACGUG
This 497-nucleotide ribosomal RNA is filed under the name uncultured bacterium. RNAcentral's name for it is "partial 16S ribosomal RNA". It matches the Rfam family "Bacterial small subunit ribosomal RNA", at positions 28 to 507 of the family's 1533-position model. The record is from RNAcentral.